GACGCAGCGACGCCGCGUGGGGGAUGACGGCCUUCGGGUUGUAAACCUCUUUCAGCAGGGACGAAGCGAAAGUGACGGUACCUGCAGAAGAAGCACCGGCCAACUACGUGCCAGCAGCCGCGGUAAUACGUAGGGUGCAAGCGUUGUCCGGAAUUAUUGGGCGUAAAGAGCUCGUAGGCGGUUUGUUGCGUCGGCUGUGAAAUCCCGAGGCUCAACCUCGGGUCUGCAGUCGAUACGAGCAAACUAGAGUGUUGCAGGGGAGACUGGAAUUCCUGGUGUAGCGGUGAAAUGCGCAGAUAUCAGGAGGAACACCGGUGGCGAAGGCGGGUCUCUGGGCAACAACUGACGCUGAGGAGCGAAAGCGUGGGGAGCGAACAGGAUUAGAUACCCUGGUAGUCCACGCCGUAAACGUUGGGCGCUAGGUGUGGGGCUCAUUCCACGAGUUCCGUGCCGCAGCUAACGCAUUAAGCGCCCCGCCUGGGGAGUACGGCCGCAAGGCUAAAACUCAAAGGAAUUGACGGGGGCCCGCACAAGCGGCGGAGCAUGUUGCUUAAUUCGAUGCAACGCGAAGAACCUUACCUAGGCUUGACAUGCACGGAAAUCUCGCAGAGAUGCGGGGUCCGUAAGGGCCGUGCACAGGUGGUGCAUGGUUGUCGUCAGCUCGUGUCGUGAGAUGUUGGGUUAAGUCCCGCAACGAGCGCAACCCUCGUUCUAUGUUGCCAGCACGUCAUGGUGGGGACUCAUAGGAGACUGCCGGGGUCAACUCGGAGGAAGGUGGGGAUGACGUCAAAUCAUCAUGCCCCUUAUGUCUAGGGCUGCAAACAUGCUACAAUGGCCGGUACAAAGGGCUGCGAUACCGCGAGGUGGAGCGAAUCCCAAAAAGCCGGUCUCAGUUCGGAUUGGGGUCUGCAACUCGACCCCAUGAAGUUGGAAUCG
Molecule: ribosomal RNA, 936 nt
Filed under: uncultured bacterium
Lineage: Bacteria
Description: bacterial SSU rRNA
Rfam family: Bacterial small subunit ribosomal RNA
Source: RNAcentral